UAAAAACUAUUGUGGUAGCAUCUCCUUUUGUUUCUGUUAGUAUAUUUCUUCCUUAAAUUACCAUUUUAUCUGAGGGUACUGUGAUUUUGUUUAGUGUUUGUCAGUUGUAUCUUUUACAGUUAUCUUGUUUUGUCUUUUUGCCUUAGAUAUAGUUCUCAUAGACAGAACUUAACACCAAUUUUUAAGCCAAAUUGAACUUAUUUGCAUAAAACCUAAUCCAUCUAUAUUUAUUGUUAUUACUGAUAUAUUUAAACUUAUUUAUGUCAUCUUACCAUUUUCUUUACUCCUGUGGUACUCUUUUGAAAUGGGAAAGUUUUUACAAAUUCUCUUUAAUGGUUGUCCUUGAAUUUUUUAAUAAACAUCUUUGUAAUUUCCCCCAAAAUCUCCCAUAGAAAUUUAAAUUGCCCUGCAAUGCUCUUUCCCCUGGAGUGCUUAAAACAUUAUACAUAUGCACAAACAUGAGGGUAGAAAACUCUCAUCACUUCCCAAAAACUAUACAGUAGCCAAGGAAAAUGUUUGUGUAUCAAUGCUAAGCAAGUAGGAAGACCCAAAAUUUGAGUGUCUCAUUGGUGAAAGUAUGUAAUAUAAUAUUGUUUUGAUCUUCAUUGUCCAUAUUCAGCAUGUUAUAUACUGUAUUUUAUCUCUUCUUGAAGAAACAGUGAAUGAAACUUGAAAAACAGAGUGACACAAACUGUGAAAUAAGCCAGAGUGUUACUACAGCAUCGGUUCUCACAAAGAUUUGUCUAGAUAUGAAGAUAGAAACUCUGCUGGAGCUGCUGCAUAUGUCUUACUUGGACAUCUAAUAAGGCUCAGCCAGCAUGAUGUCACCAGUGCACUGGGCCAACCAGCCCUUCUGUGGGGUGGAAAGGUGAGCAAAGAAAAUGAAAAUGUAUUCCACUGUCUUCCAGCUCCCUUUAUUUCCAUCAAGAAAUCUGCUGUCAUAUCCUUUGUUGGUUAUUUUAGUUUUCACUUUCAUUCAGUUUUAAGUACUUUUCUUAAUCUUAUUCUACAGCUGUUAAUACAAUGUUUCUUGGCAGAUUUUUGGGUCAAUGUACUUAGGAUACAUUAUAGUUUCUGACCCCUAGUGAUGCUAUGGACAUUUGGCUUGGAACAGCUCAAUCUCUCCAAUUUCUUUUGUGUUCACUGUUUCAAGGUCUGGAUUUAGCUCAUUUUUUUUUUUUUUCAGGGAGAAAGUAAAUCUUCAGAUAUUUUAUUUUAUGAGAAUCCACAAUGCAAUUAAACAUUUAUUAUAUACAGUAUCUAGUUAUAUUUUAGUGGGAGCCCUUCAAAAUGCUGCCCAUUGAAAAUAUUCAGCCCAGAAUAUUUACCAUAAAUUCCAUGUCUGAAAUAACUAUAUUGUUAACAUACUGGAAUGAUAUAAAAUAAUUUUAAAGAUUAUCAAAACACCUGGCAUUUUAAAAAUAGAAACUCUCUAGUUAUGUUUAAAACAUUAGAGUUUAUAGAGAUUAAAAGUGUUUUCUUCCUUUAAUCACUAUUCUGGAAUCUCAGUCUGAGCUGUUCUACUCUGCUCCUUAAUGCUGAGAACAUUCUGAAGGAUUUACUUUUGUUUAAUAUUUAUAUAUUCUAGAUUUCAUGUUCUUUUCCUGAAGGCAAUGUAUAUAUUCAUAGUGAAUUAUUUAGCAUCAAUCAUGGGCAACCUUGAUGCUGCUUCUUUUAAUCUUUCUGACUAAGAAAUGAUGUUCUCAUAGGUAUGCAAUGAAACAUGGUUUUGAGAGUCUUUUAAAAAAAACCAUAUAUUAAAACCUUUUGAGAAUCUAAGCAAAACGGUUUGUUUCCCACCAUUAACAUUAAUGUAAUGCAAUCUUUAUUUCUGGAAUAGCCAAUAUUCACAGUAAUAGAAGUUUUAGAAAAGACUCACUCUUCAAUUCUCUUUGCCAAUUUACUCAAACAUUAUCAAAAAGAUUGUGUAUUGUAGUUUUCUUCUUGAGAGAAAUAUAGACAAUAAUCUCUUUGAAAAGAGGGGGAGUCAGAAUACCUGUUGUGGUAACGAACCCAACUAGUAUCCAUGAGGACUCAGGUUUGAUCCCUAGCCUUGCCCAGUGGGUUAAGGAUCCGGC
Molecule: long non-coding RNA, 2078 nt
Filed under: Sus scrofa (pig)
Lineage: Eukaryota; Metazoa; Chordata; Mammalia; Artiodactyla; Suidae
Description: lncRNA (ENSSSCG00030019577.1)
Source: RNAcentral